ACGCUCGACACCUACGGGGGCAGCAGUGGGGAAUAUUGCACAAUGGGGGAAACCCUGAUGCAGCAACGCCGCGUGAAGGAAGAAGUAUUUCGGUAUGUAAACUUCUAUCAGCAGGGAAGAAAAAGAUGACGGUACCUGACUAAGAAGAACCGGCUAAAUACGUGCCUGCAGCCGCGGUAAUCUGAGCGGGCUGGCAAGGC
This 200-nucleotide ribosomal RNA is filed under the name uncultured bacterium. Its description in RNAcentral is "partial 16S ribosomal RNA". It matches the Rfam family "Bacterial small subunit ribosomal RNA", at positions 328 to 539 of the family's 1533-position model. The record is from RNAcentral.